ACAAAGAAAGCGAGAGAAAAACGCCGUCUUACUUUUUUUUUUUUCCUUUCCUCCUCCUUUUUUUGUUUUUUUCCUGCUUUUCUUUCCCUCUCCUCUCUCGUCCCGCAGCUUCACCCGCGGGACUCCAGCGAUUCUUUUUUUUUUUUUUUUUGUGGGGGUGGGGGGAUCCUGCAAAGCAACUUCAGGAGGUGCCGGGCGCUGCUCGGAGCUCACAGGAGACACCGGGGAGGGCUCGGCCGGCGGAGAAGAGAAGGAACAAAAGCCCCGGCGCUGCCCGAGCGGUGCUGAAUAGGAUGGAGCUCGAGGGCAGCUGGAAGAUCCCUGGAAUGCAGAGGACCCCUGGAAUGUGAAGACAUUUGGGUCUGAGGGAGCAGGGAGAGCCCUCAGAUUCCCGGAGGUGAAGAAGGGAUGGGUCCUUUGAAAUCCCUCGGCGUUUCACACCUCGUGCAUUCCAGCACUGGGGCUUUUCCCCUUUUCCCCCCCAGCCUUGUGAUCCUGGAGGAUUCUCAGCCCUGACCUAAGAACACUUCAGCGUUUUUGCUGAGAAAAGCCUGAAAACACCAACCCUAAAGGGUGAAAGCCACAAGAGAAAUAAAAACCUGAUAACAGGC
Haemorhous mexicanus (house finch) is the source of this 611-nucleotide long non-coding RNA. RefSeq lists it as uncharacterized. The record is from RefSeq and is a predicted model, not a curated record. NCBI's taxonomy places the organism in Eukaryota, Metazoa, Chordata, Aves, Passeriformes, Fringillidae. The transcript is spliced from 2 exons.